UAGCAAUACCAACCGGCGAACGGGUGCGUAACACGUGAGCGACCUGCCGAUCAGAGGGGGAUAGCCGGCCCAACGGCCGGGUAAUACCGCAUACGCUAGCGGAACCGCAUGGUUCUGUUAGGAAAACUCAGGUGCUGAUCGAGGGGCUCGCGGCCUAUCAGCUAGUUGGCGGGGUAACGGCCCACCAAGGCAACGACGGGUAGCUGGUCUGAGAGGAUGGCCAGCCACAUUGGGACUGAGAUACGGCCCAGACUCCUACGGGAGGCAGCAGUGGGGAAUAUUGCGCAAUGGCCGAAAGGCUGACGCAGCGACGCCGCGUGUAGGAUGAAGCUCUUCGGG
RNAcentral lists this ribosomal RNA (339 nucleotides) under uncultured bacterium. RNAcentral describes it as "bacterial SSU rRNA". It matches the Rfam family "Bacterial small subunit ribosomal RNA", at positions 83 to 422 of the family's 1533-position model. The record is from RNAcentral.